Non-coding RNA from Electrophorus electricus (electric eel), 4841 nucleotides. The record is from RefSeq and is a predicted model, not a curated record. NCBI's taxonomy places the organism in Eukaryota, Metazoa, Chordata, Actinopteri, Gymnotiformes, Gymnotidae.
UGACACGAGAGAGGGCCUGGAAAAUGGCGGCUGGAAGGGAAGCCGUAAGCGGCCACAGUUGUGGUUCAUCCGCUGUUUUGGAGUCAACAUUAGAUCGUCGUUUUCAAGGAGUAACAAAUACAACGGAGUCAAUUCAAGGAUUAUCAACUUGGUGCAUCGAGAAUAAGAAAUAUCAUAGUGUAAUCGUUCGGUACUGGAUGAAGUGGUUGCGAAAAUCGGAUGCAUCUCACAGACUCAAUCUCUUCUACCUGGCUAAUGAUGUCAUUCAGAAUUGCAAGAGGAAAAAUGCAAUUGUCUACCGUACUACCUUCACUGAAGUUUUGCCAGAGGCUAUUAAACUUAUCAAUACUGUGAAAGACUCUAAAGUGCGCAAGUCUGUGGAUCGGAUCCUGACCAUUUGGGAGGAGAGGAAUGUUUAUUCUGAGGAGUUUAUUAACCUGCUUAGGAGUGGUCUGGUCCAGAGAGAUGAACUACCAGUUUCUGCCAACCAAAAUGAGACACUAAGAUCCAAAAUAGUUGCUGAGUUUGUGCCCUCAGCAUUCAGCGAGCAUCUAAAUAAAUACAGGAACUCCAUGGAUGAGAUUGAGUUGCGAGAGAAGCAGCUGGCUGCUAUGAGAGUGGAUGUAUGCAGCACAGAGGCUCUCAAGAAACUCAAAGAUAAGGCCGGGGGCAAACGGUUUUCCAGAGAUUUUGAGGAUGGUAGCACAAAGCUGCAAGACUUUGUGACCUUUCUGGAUGGACAGGUCAAGAAAGGACCUUCUCUGUUGGAAGCUCUGGAGAAUGCAGACAUCUUCUAUGAAAUGCAGUAUAAAGAGGUCAAGAUUGUUACCAAAGCCUAUCAGACUUUUGCCAACCGAGUAUUGCAUCUCAAGCGCAAGCUGGAUGCACUCAAGGCCUCUUUACCAGACCCCAAUGACUCGCCAGUCCCCUCCCCUUCUGAAGAUGCCCCUUCACCCACGGGUUCUGAGUCACCCUUCCAUGGUCUGCACAGAAUUGGUACUCCUGAUCCAGAGCUAGAUGGCCAGGCCAUGGAGGAGGAUCUGAUUGCCUUAUGUGAUGCUCCUAGUCCACUCUCCUCCCCUGGGGACAAAGACAACCGUGAUGUAGAGGAUAUGGAACUCUCAGAUGUAGAGGAGACUGAGGGGCCAGCCAUCAUAGUGGAGGAGCAAUUGGAGCAGGCUGAUUCUGUGGAUGUGUCCAAUCAGACCGCUGAUUUGCCUGACCCAGAACCCUCUCAGGCCAGUCAGGCUGUACCUCUCAAGCAAAUCACAACCCCAGCAGCAAAAGAGACCCCAACAACUGGGUCACUUCCUAUUAACCUCGCUAGUGUGGAUCUAGGCAAAAUCAGUUCCAUCCUUAGCACACUCACAAAUGUAAUGAAAAGCUCAGGAGUAAGCUCAGCAACCUGCUCAUCUACCAGUACCUCAAGCACACCCUCACCAUCAAAUUCCUCUCUGAAAACUGACUGCACCACCUCCAGCUCUGCAGCUGUGCCUGCAGCCAGCCCACUUUCUAGCAUCGUCUCCAGAGUGGACAUCAGCCCUAGUAGCCUGAUAAGUGCGCUGUCCAAAACCCAGGCUCAAGGAAUCGGCCUUCAGGGACUGUCUUCCUUACUAAACACUCAGACUGGAAUGGCUUCCGCUGCUUCUGGCUCAGAUAUGGGCCCACCCGCAGGCACCGUUCUCAUAGCGCAUACACAUGCCACUUCCAAGACCGCUGCACCGACAUCAGUUCAUUCACAAGCGGGAGGCUCCUCCUCUCAGAGCUCUGUCCCUCUCCGCUGUACUCAAUCACCCAACAUUGUUCAGACCAAGGGCACUCAGAAGGAAACAAAGAAAGAAGUAGGAGAGCCCAUCACCUCUAUCACCAGUAGUCUGGACUCCAAAAUUGAUAAUUUCCUUCAGGGAAAUCCAGGAAUGAGAGGGCUGAAUAUGGGUUUUCCAUCUGUUCUUUCGUGGCCUAAGACCAUUGAUAGUCCCACAGCAAGCACAGAAAACCUUGGAGGAACUCCAGUGAGGGAUGAGUCUGGUGCUACACCCACGCAAGAUGAAGUCAUGGAUAGUCCUGUAGCACAACUGCUUUUGUAUCAGGGAGGGCCUCGCCAAACUGCAUCAACAACUUCAUCUUUAGCAGACACUUCUGCACCCCCAGAAGUGAGUGGAUUAUGUAUGGCCAGUUAUGCGAAUGAUUCAUGGCAAGAGAACACCAUGCAUGGUUCACACUUUGUUCCUGGAUCACAAAAUGGAGGCAAGCUCUACCAAAGGGAUUUUGCAGUAAAGCAAGACUUCCAAAGUUCUGUCCCACUUUUUGUAGAAUCAGAGAUGGGACAUCAGCAGGAAAACUGUCUGCCACCAUCAUCAGCCAAUAAUACAUUGUCAACUGAAAACUCUGCAACCAUGGAGAGAAAUACUUCAAUAAGUGAAGGGGUGACCGCAUAUCCCAGUACUAGUAAUGCAGUAGACAAUGCUAACCUGGCAGAUGAUGGUUGGUAUGGGAAAACAUAUGGAGAUGUUCAAGACCAGAAUGUGAUGUCCAACUCUGAAUCAUAUAGAGGUGAACAGUAUGGCUCUAACGAAUCUGUACAAGAUUUCAGUCCUCCUAAUUUCUUCAGCAGCCCACUCCCUCCAAUCCCACAGCUCCCACCUCCUCCUCAAGACUUUCUACCUCAAGUGGUGGAUGGAGCCAAAGAUCGUACUAAGAUGCCGGAUUCCGUUAACAACAUACAAGAUAGCAGUGAGGGUCAAGCAUGUAUUCCAGUAAAUCCUGUUGGUUUUGAUGAUUUUGAUGAACGCAUUUCCCAUCAGACACAGGCCAAGGAGUUUUUCCAUCCCCUUCAGAAAGUCUUGGGACCUCGGCUUCGUGAUUCUGUGCCACUUCUUGUCCCGCCGAAUGGCCCUGUGGACUACAACCACCGUCCCAGAAUCCCUGUUCACCAUUCAAACUAUCCUAAUAUGUCUCACCACAGCCUGAGCCCUCCCUCUACACUAAGGGGGUACCACGAGCCUCUUAGUCCUUCAGGAUCUCCAUCUGAGGAUCCAUACUUUGACACACAUUAUGACCCCACUGCUCAGAGCCCUUCACCCCCUCUUUACGAUGUUGAUCACCCCCGCUCUACUCCCUCACAAAUGUAUUAUGCAGAAGACCGAGGUUUACCACCACACCACACAGAACAUGGACUGCCUCUUCAUCUUGAGCACAGGCCCCCUCGUCCACCUCACUAUCGUGCUCCAUGCCCUGGUCACUACCUGCCCCAGAGACCUCUCCAUCGUCCUCUUCUACCACAUAUGCCAUGUCCCAGUGAACCACCAUAUCUUAGAGGAAAGCGACAUGGCCCUCCUUUUGGAGUAGCUCCUUGCCCUGGGGGUCCAUAUUUCCCCCCUAAAAGACCUUUCUUGCCACCACGUUACUGAGCUACUGAUGAACUGUUGAAAUAUACAUGUCCACCUGCUAGAAUUCUAACAACCCUAUGAUGUGAAUCUUAUGUUGGAGUCAUUCACUAGGCCACAAUAGACAACAGCACUAAUUCACAUGGGUGGACAGAUUGUUACAUAUGACAGAAACACAUACAUGCACUGGUCUUGGACAGCUUGAUCUGUGCUCUGAAUUCAGAUGGGGAUUUGAUUUGAAGGAGUGUCAAACUAUAUGGGCUGUGAGGAGGAGUCAUCAUGUAAUGAGGGGUGAAUCAGCAAGAAGAAAUGAACAUGAGUGCAGGAGGACUGGAGAGAAUCGCUCGGAAUGCUGGUGACGAGAUGGAUCAAGCAAGCGGAGGAGCCAUGAAACUGCAAGAUAAAGAGAAAAUGAGUUGUGCAAGUGAACGAUCCUUGUUGGCAAGAAGGAUGCUGUCUGCCUGAAAGAGGAGUGGUUUAGAGGACACCAAAUGACAGUGAAUCACCUACUUGAAAUUCAAGUCGGAAGGUGAGCAACCCAUAAGCCCCUCGUAUGGACUUUUGGAUAUGAGGAAAUACGAAGAUACAGGACUUCGGGGUACGCAACGGAUGGUACCGAAAUCAUGCCCUCUAAACGGCUUAAAGAUCACAUAUUUGAAACUCCAGCGGUAUAAGAUAGAAACUAAGAGCUGUUACUUCAUAAUAAAGCGGCAUGGAUUAGCUUGGCAUCUUUGCGACCGACAACACGAUCGCUCUGGACAGUUUCAGCACCGCGGCCAGAGCCCUUCGAGAACAAAAGGAGGAUUAGCGUCCUUGAUGUCAGGCACUCUCUGUAAUGUACUUUCAGACUCGAAAACGAAUGUGCGAAGGGAAAAUAAAGCCGUCCAAAAUAUAUCGCCAGUAUAUCCGUUCCUUACCAUAUACAUUCACCUCUUUGUUAAUAAAUGUUGACUUAAGAUAUAUUUUCAUUACCAGAUGGUUCUUUAAAAUACUGUCUAUACUUCACGUAUUUGUAAUUGGGACGUGAUUAAAGCAAUUUUUAAGGCCUGAUUAGUAUUCACAUCUUUAUUUUUGUUUACCAGUAGCAAAGUAUGUCUUGAAAUGUAAAAUUUGUAAAAUAGACUUGGAGUGCAAUAGAUGCACAAACACUGUUUGGUCUGCCUGCGUGUCAUCUUUUGGGGGGGGAGGGGGAAAUGAUGACGCUCCCUUCAGUAGACAUCACGGUUUUCCACACCCCCAGGGAGGUUUGGAGAUGGACAGGGGGAGACACCGGUUUACGACGUCAAAGCAACGGCGUAUACGAACUGUGUGUCAAGACCGUGGAUAUAAUCUGCGACCUGCCUGGACGUCUCUGUUGGAAAUCGUUUACGCCACACCGACUGCUUUACCUCCGCUGAACGACUCCACAGUGCUGAAACCCGGGCGCCACUGUCGCUCCGUCCCGUAGGCUACCGU